UUGGUGGUGCUUGUCAAAGGCUUCGUAGCAGCGGCCCUGGCAGGAGGAAAGGGGUUCUGAGUUGCAAAUCAGAAACUUGAAGAUGAAAUGGCUACUACGCUGGGUAUUGCCUUUAUCUUGAAUGCCAGCCUGAUGGUCCAAGGUGAACAAGCCUUCCUGUGUUUUCUGAAUGUUCCCCCGCACUUUGCCUGCCACCAUGUAAGAUGUGUCUUUGCGCCUCCUUUGCCUUCCACCAUGAUUGUGCGGCCUCCCCAGCCAUGUGGAACGGCUGGAAAUGAUGGUAUGGAGAUGUUGCACCACGUGGUCCCUUCACUAGAGGAAGAGUGGUAUGAAUCGUGUCCGUCACUGUGACACCAUGCAGUCUUCCUGGCAGUACACAAGUUGUGAGAGUUUGCUACCAUUUUUACAUUUUUGUGAUUUAAAGUGUUGAAUAACAAUUAAUAAUGUCAUACAUACUAAA
RNAcentral lists this long non-coding RNA (460 nucleotides) under Homo sapiens (human). RNAcentral's name for it is "RPAP3 divergent transcript". The record is from RNAcentral. Lineage: Eukaryota; Metazoa; Chordata; Mammalia; Primates; Hominidae.